Molecule: non-coding RNA, 21 nt
Filed under: Arabidopsis thaliana (thale cress)
Lineage: Eukaryota; Viridiplantae; Streptophyta; Magnoliopsida; Brassicales; Brassicaceae
Source: RNAcentral
UUUAGCGCAAAAACCACAUGA